RNAcentral lists this ribosomal RNA (1019 nucleotides) under uncultured bacterium. RNAcentral describes it as "bacterial SSU rRNA". It matches the Rfam family "Bacterial small subunit ribosomal RNA", at positions 355 to 1375 of the family's 1533-position model. RNAcentral also lists the same sequence under 1 other name. The record is from RNAcentral.
UGAGGAAUAUUGGUCAAUGGACGAGAGUCUGAACCAGCCAAGUAGCGUGAAGGAUGAAGGUUCUAUGGAUUGUAAACUUCUUUUAUACGGGAAUAAACGAAUCCACGCGUGGAUUUUUGCAUGUACCGUAUGAAUAAGGAUCGGCUAACUCCGUGCCAGCAGCCGCGGUAAUACGGAGGAUCCGAGCGUUAUCCGGAUUUAUUGGGUUUAAAGGGAGCGUAGAUGGGUUGUUAAGUCAGUUGUGAAAGUUUGCGGCUCAACCGUAAAAUUGCAAUUGAUACUGGCAGUCUUGAGUACAGUUGAGGUAGGCGGAAUUCGUGGUGUAGCGGUGAAAUGCUUAGAUAUCACGAAGAACUCCGAUUGCGAAGGCAGCUUACUAACCUGUAACUGACAUUGAUGCUCGAAAGUGUGGGUAUCAAACAGGAUUAGAUACCCUGGUAGUCCACACGGUAAACGAUGAAUACUCGCUGUAGGCGAUAUACAGUCUGCGGCCAAGCGAAAGCAUUAAGUAUUCCACCUGGGGAGUACGCCGGCAACGGUGAAACUCAAAGGAAUUGACGGGGGCCCGCACAAGCGGAGGAACAUGUGGUUUAAUUCGAUGAUACGCGAGGAACCUUACCCGGGCUUAAAUUGCAACCGAAUAUGGCGGAAACACUAUAGCUAGCAAUAGCGGUUGUGAAGGUGCUGCAUGGUUGUCGUCAGCUCGUGCCGUGAGGUGUCGGCUUAAGUGCCAUAACGAGCGCAACCCUUGCCGAUAGUUACUAACAGGUUAUGCUGAGGACUCUGUCGGGACUGCCAUCGUAAGAUGUGAGGAAGGUGGGGAUGACGUCAAAUCAGCACGGCCCUUACGUCCGGGGCUACACACGUGUUACAAUGGGGGGUACAGAGGGCUGCUACCACGCAAGUGGAUGCCAAUCCCAAAAACCUCUCUCAGUUCGGAUUGAAGUCUGCAACCCGACUUCAUGAAGCUGGAUUCGCUAGUAAUCGCGCAUCAGCCACGGCGCGGUGAAUACGUUCCC